GUCGUUGUUGUAUCUGCGGCCAGAGUUGGAAAGUUCUUUCGGGUUCUUUUUUAAUUUUGGUCGUAGUUGACUCGAUUCGCUCCACCCAGUCAAUCGUUCGGGGUGCCCUUCACCGGGUGUCUCGGGCGGCCGGCAACGUUUACUUUGAACAAAUUAGAGUGCUCAAAGCAGGUGUAUCCCAACGCCUGAAUAUCGCAGCAUGGAAUGAUGGAAUAGGACCUCGGUCCGAUUUUGCUGGUCUUUUACUUUUGGACCCGAGGUAAUGGUCAAUAGAGACGGACGGGGGCAUUCGUACUGCGGCGACAGAGGUGAAAUUCUUGGACCGCCGCAAGACGAACAACAGCGAAGGCAUUUGCCAAGAAUGUUUUCCUUGAUCAAGAACGAAAGUUAGAGGUUCGAAGGCGAUCAGAUACCGCCCUAGUUCUAACCAUAAACGAUGCCAACCAGCAAUCCGUCGGAGUUACUCCAAUGACUCGACGGGCAGCUUCCGGGAAACCAAAGUCUUUGGGUUCCGGGGGAAGUAUGGUUGCAAAGCUGAAACUUAAAGGAAUUGACGGAAGGGCACCACCAGGAGUGGAGCCUGCGGCUUAAUUUGACUCAACACGGGAAACCUCACCAGGCCCGGACACUGGAAGGAUUGACAGAUUGAGAGCUCUUUCUUGAUUCGGUGGGUGGUGGUGCAUGNCCGUUCUUAGUUGGUGGAGCGAUUUGUCUGGUUAAUUCCGAUAACGAACGAGACUCUAGCCUGCUAAAUAGGUGACGGGUUUUAUCAAUUGAAACCGAAGGGAGUACGGAGGCGUCGGGAUCAGGUGGCGGCGAUUCGGGUCUCGGUGGGACUGGUUCCUUUAGUGAGGCAAUCUCUCGGCUUGGUUUCGUUGUGCUUUGUUCGUCGGGUGUACGGCCUUCACGGGUUGGUUGCCUGGCGGAUGAGGUAUGGCGGGGCUUUGUCGGGAAUGUCUCGCGGGGGCUGGCUCUAUUGUUAUUCGGUCGUCGUCAUCCCCGGCGAUACCUUCUGCUCUCGCGUCCGUCACGCAGUCUUCUUAGAGGGACAAGCGGCGUCCAGCCGCGUGACAGUGAGCAAUAACAGGUCUGUGAUGCCCUUAGAUGUCCUGGGCCGCACGCGCGCUACACUGAAGGAAUCAGCGUGUUUCACUCUCCCUGUCCGAAAGGACCGGGUAACCGCUGAACCUCCUUCGUGGUUGGGAUUGGGGACUGCAAUGAUCCCCAUGAACCAGGAAUCCCUAGUAGGCGCGGGUCACUAGCCCGCGUCGAUUACGUCCCUGCCCUUUGUACACACCGCCCGUCGCUACUACCGAUUGAAUGAUUUAGUGAGGCCUUCGGACGGGCUUGUCGGGGUGCCGUCGAGUGGGGAGCAAUCUCUGCCCGUGCGGUGCCUACCAACGGCGAGACUGAAAGAUGGUCGAACUUGAUCCUUUAGAGGAAGUAAAAGUCGU
This 1454-nucleotide non-coding RNA is filed under the name Daphnia pulex (common water flea). RNAcentral's name for it is "Eukaryotic small subunit ribosomal RNA". It matches the Rfam family "Eukaryotic small subunit ribosomal RNA", at positions 627 to 1792 of the family's 1831-position model. The record is from Rfam by way of RNAcentral. Lineage: Eukaryota; Metazoa; Arthropoda; Branchiopoda; Diplostraca; Daphniidae.